CCUACGGGAGGUAGCAGUGAGGAAUAUUUGUCCCUGGACGAGCGUCUGAACCAGCCAAGUAGCGUGAAGGAUGACUGCCCUAUGAGUUGUACCCUUCUUUUCUAAAGGACUAUAACGAGUCACGUAUGCCUUUUUGCAUGUACUUUAUGAAUAAGGAUCGGCUAACUCCGUGCCAGCAGCCGCGGUAAUACGGAGGAUCCGAGCGUUAUCCGGAUUUAUUGGGUUUAAAGGGAGCUUAGAUGGGUUGUUACGUCAGUUGUGAAAGUUUGCGGCUCAACCGUAAAAUUGCAAUUGAGACCGGCAGGCUUGAGGACAGUUGAGGUAGGAGGAA
RNAcentral lists this ribosomal RNA (331 nucleotides) under uncultured bacterium. RNAcentral's name for it is "partial 16S ribosomal RNA". It matches the Rfam family "Bacterial small subunit ribosomal RNA", at positions 338 to 666 of the family's 1533-position model. The record is from RNAcentral.